This 449-nucleotide ribosomal RNA is filed under the name uncultured bacterium. Its description in RNAcentral is "partial 16S ribosomal RNA". It matches the Rfam family "Bacterial small subunit ribosomal RNA", at positions 29 to 523 of the family's 1533-position model. The record is from RNAcentral.
AACGAACGCUGGCGGCAUGCCUAACACAUGCAAGUCGAACGAUGCCUUCGGGCAUAGUGGCGCACGGGUGCGUAACACGUGGGAAUCUGCCCUUCGGUUCGGAAUAACACAGAGAAAUUUGUGCUAAUACCGGAUAAUGACGUAAGUCCAAAGAUUUAUCGCCGAAGGAUGAGCCCGCGUAGGAUUAGCUUGUUGGUGGGGUAAUGGCCCACCAAGGCGACGAUCCUUAGCUGGUCUGAGAGGAUGAUCAGCCACACUGGGACUGAGACACGGCCCAGACUCCUACGGGAGGCAGCAGUGGGGAAUAUUGGACAAUGGGCGAAAGCCUGAUCCAGCAAUGCCGCGUGAGUGAUGAAGGCCUUAGGGUUGUAAAGCUCUUUUACCAGGGAUGAUAAUGACAGUACCUGGAGAAUAAGCUCCGGCUAAUUCCGUGCCAGCCGCCGCGGUAA